RNAcentral lists this ribosomal RNA (522 nucleotides) under uncultured Acidobacteriaceae bacterium. Its description in RNAcentral is "bacterial SSU rRNA". It matches the Rfam family "Bacterial small subunit ribosomal RNA", at positions 81 to 637 of the family's 1533-position model. The record is from RNAcentral. Lineage: Bacteria; Pseudomonadati; Acidobacteriota; Terriglobia; Terriglobales; Acidobacteriaceae.
CAUCCGUGAGUAAAGCGGCGUACGGGUGAGUAACACGUGGAUCAUCUACCUUUUAGUGGGGAAUAACCCUGGGAAACCGGGGCUAAUAUCGCAUAAGCCUGAGAAGGGAAAGCAGCAAUGCGCUGAAAGAGGAGUCCGCGGCCGAUUAGCUAGUUGGUGAGGUAACGGCUCACCAAGGCGAUGAUCGGUAGCCGGCCUGAGAGGGCACACGGCCACACUGGCACUGAAACACGGGCCAGACUCCUACGGGAGGCAGCAGUGGGGAAUCUUGCACAAUGGAGGCAACUCUGAUGCAGCGACGCCGCGUGAGCGAUGAAGCCCCUCGGGGUGUAAAGCUCUUUCGGCAGGGACGAUAAUGACGGUACCUGAAGAAGAAGCUGCGGCUAACUACGUGCCAGCAGCCGCGGUAAUACGUAGGCAGCGAGCGUUGUUCGGAAUUACUGGGCGUAAAGAGUGUGUAGGCGGCGCUCUAAGUUCGGUGUGAAAUCUCCCGGCUUAACUGGGAGGUGCGCCGGAACUGGA